This 2687-nucleotide long non-coding RNA is filed under the name Gallus gallus (chicken). Lineage: Eukaryota; Metazoa; Chordata; Aves; Galliformes; Phasianidae. The record is from RNAcentral.
AACUUAAAGACGAGCGGAUGGUGUGUGAGCAAUGGCUGCAUCAUUAACCCUCUGAGCGCAGUGUGCGGCUGGCCCUGCAGCUAAUGCUACUUCUCUAAGGGUUAGAACAGCUCUGUCAGUCUGUGCACGUCGCUUCGUUCAGUGCUUCCGAAGUUGCACUUACACAGAAGAGGAAGAAAGCAAUAAGUUUGGGUCUUCUAAGCUAAAACGCGUUAAAGAUCUACACUACUAUAAGCAGAAGCACCUAAAUCAGGGGAACAAACCCAGGGAUGCUCUACAGACUAAUCAGUGUCUUUUUUUUUCAUUUUUCAAUCUUUGAUGCAUAAACUUGUUUAAAAAGUUGAGUCCAAUGUAUAAAAUCCGGGUUUUUGUUUUAAGAAAAGAAAUAUAAAAAUAAUUUUUUUACAUUAUAAAGGUCAUCUUAAAUUUCCUGCAGUUCUACAAUAAUGAUACUACAUAAUUUGUAGUCAGUACUCUAAAACCUGUUCUGUCAAGUAGACAAAAAUAGCCCCCUCUCUCCCUCAGUUUGGUGUUCUUCUCUUCAGCAGUCUAAAAUACAUUUCUUUCAAGCAGGAAAAGAUACGCACUGGACCGGACUGGUCUGUGUGCCAAGUGUGUAAACGUAGAGAUAUCGAUACAUUUGGUUAAGUUAGGAUUUACAUCAGUUUGUGGAGAUCAGAAUGUGUCCACAGAUCAAAAUAGAAGAUACCAGAACCUGGUAAACAUUCUCAGGCUGCAGAGAAUGCCUUCACGUUUGGCCUCAUGGUGAGGGAGAUCUGUUAGAAAAAGCUCGGGUAAGUUCUUUAACAAGUCAGACACCAAAUCAGCAAGAAACGUUUUUGGUCUUGCAGAGGGUAAAUGCAGCCUGUGAGCAGAGGGCAGGGCAGUGUGCUGCUGCUCCGGGCUGCACGGCUGGGAGUGUGGGGCUCAGCCCCUUCCUGCAGCCUGGCCUCAGCCUGGCUUGUGAGAUGGAGCGCAGCGCUCCUGAGUGCCUCAGUCAGGCUGUGUGGCUGCUUGCCCUACGUGCUCCUCUGUGCUCCUCAUGUGUGCUGCGUUAAGGGGAAGCUUUUUGAGGCUCUCCCCAGCCCACUGCAUGGCCAUUCUGGCUGCCCGAAUUUGCAACAACCAAAGCACAACAGCAGGGAAACCCUGCACUGGACUGAUGUGGGGAGCAAUCCUCUGCCCUGCCACACACCAGUGGGAUUCAGUGUGUCUGCACAGAGACUAUUACCUGUAAACAGUACCUUCCUGUUCUCAAACAAGAAGUUUAAAAAAUACAUCUCAUUUGUUUAAAUAUUUCUCUAUCAUCCAGUCAGAUCACAAAGCUAGCAUCGCUACAUUUCAUUUUCAGACACAAGGGCUUUUACAAAAGGCUCCUAUUCCAGCUUUUCCAGUUCCAUGGUAUAACAGCUACAGGAGGACUACAGCUUAAAGCAGCUCGGAAGGCAGAACAUGGAAGCCUGCGUUAGAUGUAGAGCACCUACCACCUACUGCAGCAAGCUGGGGAGUCUCUCUUUGCUUUCUGCCACACUCAUAGAUAAUGCAGUAAAGAAAGAAAAACCCCAAACAAACAAAAAGCAGCACAGGGCGGGGACAAAAGGCUUAUUUACUCAUCAGCACUUCAAAUUUUGGCAGGUUUUGUGUUGUUUUUUUUUUUUAAACCUUUUUAAAAAUCACUUUGCUAUCUUUAACCGCCACCUCCCCCCAAAUAAACAAAUGAGUUUUCCAGCAUCCUCCAAUCGUUCUGUUGCCUAACUUUGCAGUGAAACAGGGAACUGGGGCGGGCCUCUGGUCCUUUUUGGUGGGAGAGCAAAGUGCCCAACGUCUCAGCAGACACGGGUGGGUGUGGGACUACGUCCCCGUGGAAGCCACGCUGCAGGCUGAGGGCUCUGCGGGUGCGGGAGAGCACCCGGCGUUGGGUCUGGAGGAGCAGACAGCAGCUGUGAGGGGAGCGGAGACGGGGAGGGGGUCGGUGUGUUCUCUGUGUGUGGAGUCUGCGGGGGCUGCAAGCUUGUCUGAAGGGAAAGCGGAGGAUACGCAUUGGAGUGCAUCCAGGGGGGAGGGAGGGGAGUCUAUAGCACUUCCAUCGGAAGAAACUGGGCUGGCACAGCGUCCUUCUCCUUGUAAGUACCGAAUGCACUUCUUUUUCCUCCUGAGUUGGAGUCCUGCUGCUUUUCCCGUGUCCGCCUCUUCUUUUUUCCCUAGGAAAGCCAAGGAAAAGCCCAUCAGGCCGUGCUCCCAGUGCUGGGGGAUGGAUGGGUCUGAGCUCUGGGAAAUACACCCGGGGAAGUCCCAAAGCCACCACCAGGGUGAGUGUCCCCACGUCCAGCACUGCAGGCAGUGAGGCUCACAUGUAUACAUCUGCAGGAACUCAGAGAUGGAGCCACAUCUCUGCUAUCACCCCGCUGCCUUCCCAGCUUUCCUCCCUCAGCUGAGUCCCCCAUUCACACUGCAGCCUGCCUAAAAAGUUGCAAGAGAGAGCUGCACUGAAUGCAGUUACACACUGGCUCCUCCUUGCAGGACACUGGUUUGAACAUCACCUGGCUCUCCUGCUCCAUUUGAAGCACUGCAGGAGGUUCCAUCUGCACAACACAGCAGAACUGUGAUCAGAACUCCUCCCAGGAGGAGCACCCUGAUGUCACGUGGGAAAGCUUUACAAAUCCCAGGGCAGUUUUAAAAAGUACCCA